AACGCGAAGAACCUUACCAAGGUUUGACAUCCCUCUGAAAGGUGUAGAGAUGCAUCCGGCUCCUUCGGGAGACAAUGGAGACAGGUGGUGCAUGGUUGUCGUCAGCUCGUGUCGUGAGAUGUUGGGUUAAGUCCCGCAACGAGCGCAACCCUUAUCCUUAGUAGCCAGCGGUCCGGCCGGGCACUCUAGGGAGACUGCCGGGGAUAACCCGGAGGAAGGCGGGGAUGACGUCAAAUCAUCAUGCCCCUUAUGAUCUGGGCUACACACGUGCUACAAUGGCGGCCACAAAGAGAAGCGAACCCGCGAGGGGGAGCAAAUCCCAAAAAAGCCGUCCCAGUUCGGAUUGUAGUCUGCAACUCGACUGCAUGAAGCUGGAAUCGCUAGUAAUCGCGAAUCAGAAUGUCGCGGUGAAUACGUUCCCGGGUCUUGUACACACCG
This 438-nucleotide ribosomal RNA is filed under the name uncultured bacterium. RNAcentral's name for it is "bacterial SSU rRNA". It matches the Rfam family "Bacterial small subunit ribosomal RNA", at positions 958 to 1392 of the family's 1533-position model. The record is from RNAcentral.